GUGUCAGCAGCCGCGGUAAUACAGAGGUGGCAAGCGUUGUUCGGAAUUACUGGGCGUAAAGCGCGUGUAGGCGGCUCUUCAAGUCAGGCGUGAAAGCCCCGGGCUCAACUCGGGAACUGCGCUUGAUACUGUCGAGCUAGAGUGUGGAAGGGGCGAUUGGAAUUCCGUGUGUAGCGGUGAAAUGCGUAGAUAUACGGAGGAACACCAGAGGCGAAGGCGGAUCGCUGGGCCAACACUGACGCUGAGACGCGAAAGCUAGGGUAGCAAACGGGAUUAGAAACCCCCGUAGUCC
RNAcentral lists this ribosomal RNA (292 nucleotides) under uncultured bacterium. RNAcentral describes it as "partial 16S ribosomal RNA". It matches the Rfam family "Bacterial small subunit ribosomal RNA", at positions 505 to 796 of the family's 1533-position model. The record is from RNAcentral.